UCUGCCUCCAUAAUCUGCUUAAUUUCAGGCCGUCCCAGCAGCGAGGGGAGCGGUCUGUGCAUCCACCAAUCCUCGUUCCACGGGUAUUUUUGCACCCUUCGUUACACUUCGGACCAUUUACAGCCUCCUGAGACCAUACGUCCGUGCUGAGAAGGUUCCCUGUAGCCGUUGACAUGUAAUCAGGUGAAGCCGCGAGAUGAAGGACGGAUGCAGAUAUCUAAAUGCUAAAAGCAGAACGGCUCCCUCAGGACCUGCAUGAAGAGUUGAAAAGAUGAGGUCAUUUGGAGGCUUCUUUGGGAGCGGUUAAUACGGAAGAGUGGAAGAAAACUAGCUGGGGAAUGAAAAGAAAGCCGCGUCACCUCUGCGUUUCUUAUUAAAAGCAACCAAACAUCAACCGGUGAACCUGGUGCUGUCCCAACAGCUCUGGAGGGAACAGACACACAAUGCAGAAGACAGAUGAGAUCUUCAGUUAUGUUCACACGGCAGGCGCGGCCUUCAAAGACACUGAAUAAGUUACUUCAGGUUGUAACUCUUUCAAAGUGACGCAGUGCCUUCAAAGAGAAACACGUGAGGUGUGUCGAGGGCUUUUGAUAUUCAGGGCAGGCACCGAUAAACACAUUAGGAUGGAGAUCGGGACGCUGACGCCGGUCACUUUAUCUCUUUCAUUAUAAAGCUCAGAGCUACAGGAGACGUAAUUGAGUACCUGCACACACAGCUGGGCUGUGAAAUACCUUUUUGUGCUGGAUGAAAGCACACUUCUUCAUGCAACAGAGACGUUUCAGCGCACCAGUUGAAUUUAUUUUCCUUGCCG
Molecule: long non-coding RNA, 811 nt
Organism: Gasterosteus aculeatus aculeatus (three-spined stickleback)
Lineage: Eukaryota; Metazoa; Chordata; Actinopteri; Perciformes; Gasterosteidae
Source: Ensembl